RNAcentral lists this ribosomal RNA (449 nucleotides) under uncultured bacterium. Its description in RNAcentral is "partial 16S ribosomal RNA". It matches the Rfam family "Bacterial small subunit ribosomal RNA", at positions 29 to 523 of the family's 1533-position model. The record is from RNAcentral.
AACGAACGCUGGCGGCAUGCCUAACACAUGCAAGUCGAACGAGAUCUUCGGGUCUAGUGGCGCACGGGUGCGUAACGCGAGGGAAUCUGCCCUUUGGUACGGAAUAACAGUUGGAAACGACUGCUAAUACCGGAUGAUGACGAAAGUCCAAAGAUUUAUCGCCAGAGGAUGAGCCCGCGUAGGAUUAGCUAGUUGGUGUGGUAAAGGCGCACCAAGGCGACGAUCCUUAGCUGGUCUGAGAGGAUGAUCAGCCACACUGGGACUGAGACACGGCCCAGACUCCUACGGGAGGCAGCAGUGGGGAAUAUUGGAAAAUGGGCGAAAGCCUGAUCCAGCAAUGCCGCGUGAGUGAUGAAGGCCUUAGGGUUGUAAAGCUCUUUUACCCGGGAUGAUAAUGACAGUACCGGGAGAAUAAGCUCCGGCUAACUCCGUGCCAGCCGCCGCGGUAA